AAACACUUGACAUGACGGCUGUCCUAAACAAAAGCUUGGGAACCACUGCUAUAUAAAAACAUGGAAGUAAAGAUUGCAUAGCUAAUGCAAACCGUGUCCCGACACUUGCAUCAGCACUCACAUAGUGUUAAGGAAGUUUCUCUUGUGACAUUAGAACAGCAGCAGAGUCAUGUAUUCAGGUUCUCUCUCUGUGCUCACUGAUGCUCUCCAUGGCGUAGGGUAACUCUGGGUUGGGCUUCAGCAUUGCCGGAGGGACAGAUAACCCCCACUUUGGCGACGACCCCGGCAUCUUCAUCACUAAGAUCAUCCCGGGGGGAGCUGCAGCAGAGGAUGGACGCCUCAGAGUAAACGACUGCAUACUGCGGGUGAACGAUGCCGACGUGUCUGAGGUGUGCCACAGCAAGGCGGUGGAGGCUCUGAAGGUGGCAGGCUCCAUCGUGAGGCUGUAUGUGCGGCGCCGCAGGCCGAUGCUGGAGACCAUCAUCGAGAUCAAACUCAUCAAAGGGCCCAAAGGGCUUGGCUUCAGUAUUGCAGGUGGCGUUGGAAACCAGCACAUCCCAGGUGACAACAGCAUUUAUGUCACCAAGAUCAUUGAUGGCGGUGCAGCUCAGAAGGACUUCAGACUACAAGUAGGGGACAGGCUGUUAA
Molecule: long non-coding RNA, 648 nt
Organism: Notothenia coriiceps (black rockcod)
Lineage: Eukaryota; Metazoa; Chordata; Actinopteri; Perciformes; Nototheniidae
Exons: 3
Source: RefSeq, a predicted model, not a curated record